RNAcentral lists this long non-coding RNA (1369 nucleotides) under Fukomys damarensis (Damara mole-rat). RNAcentral's name for it is "lncRNA (ENSFDAG00000026571.1)". Lineage: Eukaryota; Metazoa; Chordata; Mammalia; Rodentia; Bathyergidae. The record is from RNAcentral.
AUGGGUGGAGAUUUGAGAAGCCACCUCCUGCCUGCUAGGGCAGGGCCGUUUGAAGUUCUUUGGCACCUGUGGCUGGACAGGGGUAGGACAAAGAGAGAAGAGACAACUUGGAAAUUGCAGGUCACAAAUCUCCUCUCCCUCCACCUUGUGCCCCCUCCUCCAUCCUGUCCUCAGCCAAGAACAGCAGCAAUUGCUCAAGUUUACGAUGUGCUGCGUGCAGCUAAAUUCACUGCGUACAAGACGCUACACCCGAAGAGUCAUUUCGUCAUCCACUGCUGACAGGACUCCAGAGCCCAUGCCAGAAUCCUAGCAGCCCGGGGAAGGUGGGGGACCAGAGCAUUGUACUUAUGCAUGCUCAGGAAACUGCCCAGUAAUCAAGGCUGCAAAGUAACCUUGGACUGACCCCUGCCAGGACACUGGCAUUGUGAAGCAAGUUUUUAAUUAAUUAUCUAUCUCUCCCAUCAACCUUAUCCUCUUAUCUCUGAAUUUUUCCUACCAUGUCUUAACACUCUGGAUGAUGCUAUAUCACAGAUAUGGUUAUUUCCACUUUACAGGUACUGAAACUGAGGUUAGUGAUUUAGCCAAAAUUAUACGGAUAGUAGAAGUCUUAAUUAUGGUGGGACUUAAUUUCUUUGGCCUCUGAGUUCACGUUCCAUUCACAGUUGCUCAGCUAAUCCACCAUCCAGUCCAAAUAAAGAAUACAUUUGCCACCUGACUAGUUUUAACACCCGAAACUCAUUCCUGUUCUAGCACUCUAGAAGACCAAUACCAUAUCCGUAGAGUCCAGAGCAAAGAGAAGAGGUGACAAAUACUCACUUUACAUAGCCGAACCAGAAUAUUUGGGGGCGAAGGAGAAUUUUUACUAUCAAUAAUUAAUAUUAUAAUUGCCAACACAAAUAAAAUUAACUAGAUCAUGCCAGAUUUCUUCAUUGCCUGGAGGACAUUUAGCUGUAUCUGCACUCCUCAGUGAAAUUAUAGCAGGUCUCAGCCAGUCAUCUUGUCUGUAAAGAUGAAGCAAUCAUGUCUUGUCUGUGAUCUGUGCCUCAUUUUUAUUCAUCAGGUGUUUAUUGGGUGCCAGUGAUAUGCCAAGCCCUGUACUGGAGGUCAGGAUGACAUGGAUGACUGAGACAGUCCCAACCCUUGGGAAACGCCCAGUCUAGAGAAGCCGAAGAGUGCAGCUUCCAGAAAGAGGGUGCUGCGACACAUGGAAGAAGGCCAGAAAGUCGUGCAAGCCAGGGACAGACAGCCACAACUUCAACUAAUGCUCUGAGGCUACCACAGAGAACAAAGGAGAUUGCAAGAGAUUAGGUCUCUCCUUUUCUUUCUCAGGGUCUGGUGUAGCUGCCAUUCAAAUCUUCCUAUGACCACU